This 690-nucleotide long non-coding RNA is filed under the name Daucus carota (carrot). Its description in RNAcentral is "long non-coding RNA (DCAR_LNC000757)". The record is from RNAcentral. Lineage: Eukaryota; Viridiplantae; Streptophyta; Magnoliopsida; Apiales; Apiaceae.
UAUUUACCAAACAGUUUUACAAGAAACUACUAAUUCAAUCGGCUACUCAAAACAUUUACUUCAAUUAGCUAAUAAAAAUAUCUAAUUCCGUCCGCUUGCUAAUUUCCAAACAUGAUCUAUUUCUUUUGGUUUAACUUAUAAAAUUUGAAAUUAAUCACCGAGAUGAGGUCCUCCUAAAAGGAGGAAGAUUCAGCAGGAUUCAGGAUACCAGGCAGGUAGUGGAUAAGUAGAUACUUUUUUUUAAGAUAAGUCGUGCAUGACAAUAUCAAAUGGACAAGGCUCUAAAUUCACGGUGGCUAAUGGCUAUACAUGCAGAUAUCGCGGCACUACAGAGCUCAUACUAUUGCAAAAGGAAAAUUACUCAAACUAUCAAGGCCAAACGAUAUCUUCAACAGAAACCCUCAAAUCAUCUAAAUCUUCUUCAAAAUCACCUUCCCCAUCGCAAAACUGAUCCGUCGCGGUAUCUCCGGGCACCUUGGCACCCCUAUUCUCAACAAAACAAGGAACUCCAGUGGAACUUGUUGCACCACAAGUAUAUAAAGGAAAAGGUAUUGAAGUUGAGCAGACUAGGCCAGAGUUCUGGAGUUUAAGAAGCUCAGAAACAAGAAGAACUAGAGAUGCCAUUAGAAACAAAAACACUCUAGCUAAAAGAAAAGUGGUAUGACUAUAAAUAUUGUUGAGAAGCUGUGG